UACGUAGGGUGCAAGCGUUAAUCGGAAUUACUGGGCGUAAAGCGUGCGCAGGCGGUUAUGUAAGACAAGUGUGAAAGCCCCGGGCUCAAUCUGGGAAUUGCAUUUGAGACUGUGUAGCUAGGGUGCGGAAGAGGGAAGCGGAAUUUCCGGUGUAGCGGUGAAAUGCGUAGAUAUCGGAAGGAACACCAGUGGCGAAAGCGGCUUCCUGGUCCAGCACCGACGUUCAGGCACGAAAGCGUGGGGAGCAAACAGG
This 253-nucleotide ribosomal RNA is filed under the name uncultured bacterium. RNAcentral describes it as "partial 16S ribosomal RNA". It matches the Rfam family "Bacterial small subunit ribosomal RNA", at positions 524 to 776 of the family's 1533-position model. The record is from RNAcentral.